GUGAGCGUAGUUCAAUGGUAGAGCACUGGAUUGUGGUUCCAGCCGUUGGGGGUUCGAGUCCCCUCGCUCACCCCA
RNAcentral lists this transfer RNA (75 nucleotides) under Nitrospiraceae bacterium. RNAcentral describes it as "tRNA-His". It matches the Rfam family "tRNA". From Rfam's summary of the family: Transfer RNA (tRNA) molecules are approximately 80 nucleotides in length. Their secondary structure includes four short double-helical elements and three loops (D, anti-codon, and T loops). The record is from RNAcentral. Lineage: Bacteria; Pseudomonadati; Nitrospirota; Nitrospiria; Nitrospirales; Nitrospiraceae.